Long non-coding RNA from Oncorhynchus keta (chum salmon), 733 nucleotides. RefSeq lists it as uncharacterized. The record is from RefSeq and is a predicted model, not a curated record. The transcript is spliced from 3 exons. Lineage: Eukaryota; Metazoa; Chordata; Actinopteri; Salmoniformes; Salmonidae.
CAAACUGGAUUAGGGUGUGCUCACUCAGCCCCAGCGAGGAGAGAAGCAGUCACAUGUGUCUUGUCUAUCCAAGCUUGUGGUCCAAGUGUUUAAAUUGUUUCAACAGUGUCCUGCUGGGUUAUUUGACCAUUUCACUGCAAACGGUAGAGACCAAAUUACAUUUGAAAAGGGGAUCAAUGAUGCGGUAAUCUUGCCUCGCUCGGAUGACAAAAGUUCUAAUUGUGCCUACUAUAAGUGUCCUGUCUGGCUGGUCCUGGAUAUUGAGUUAGUGUGGCUUUAGUGGAGUUGAAGGUGUGUGUGAAGAAUGGGUGUCUGGAUAUUGAGUCAGUGUUGAAGGUGUGUGUGAGGAAUGGGUGUCUGGAUAUCGAGUCAGUGUUGAAGGUGUGUGUGAUGAAUGGGAGUCUGGAUAUUGAGUCAGUGUUGAAGGUGUGUGUGAGGAAUGGGUGUCUGGAUAUUGAGUCAGUGUUGAAGGUGUGUGUGAGGAAUGGGUGUCUGGAUAUUGAGUCAGUGUUGAAGGUGUGUGUGAGGAAUGGGUGUCUGGAUAUUGAGUCAGUGUUGAAGGUGUGUGUGAGGAAUGGGUGUCUGGAUAUUGAGUCAGUGUUGAAGGUGUGUGUGAGGAAUGGGUGUCUGGAUAUUGAGUCAGUGUUGAAGGUGUGUGUGAGGAAUGGGUGUCUGGAUAUUGAGUCAGUGUUGGAAGGUGUGUGUGAGGAAUGGGUGUCUGGUUGCUCAUCUA